This is a long non-coding RNA of Pan troglodytes (chimpanzee), 460 nucleotides long. RefSeq lists it as uncharacterized. The record is from RefSeq and is a predicted model, not a curated record. NCBI's taxonomy places the organism in Eukaryota, Metazoa, Chordata, Mammalia, Primates, Hominidae. The transcript is spliced from 3 exons.
UGGAAUUUUCUAGGAGGAAUCUUAAGAAAUGCUCUAGAUUUUGUAACAGCUAAUAAAAGAGAUACUAUAAUGCUGAUGGUGACAGUGGUGACCCUGAUCUACCCUGGAAAACUUGGCUUUUAUUGUUUAUUCUGUUGUAUCUUAUUAUUAAUUCCUAUUUUGUAUUCUUUAUUUUAAAAAUUGUUUUUAUUUUAGCUACACAAUUAGUUACACUUUUUUUAUUCUUGGGACCUAUAGCAUUCAAUGAACGUCUUAGAAAGGUGAUGGUAAUGUCUAGACCAAACAAAAGAAGAAUAGGAAUCUGUUCAGAACUCAAAGGGCUGUGUGAAAAGUUUACUGUGGAAAAAAAAAUUGAAAAAACUGCCACUAAGUAGCAAUGGAAGGACUUUUCCCGCUAAGAUGAGGAACUGCUCAGAUCACCAGCUGCUUCAGGUUACCAGCCCACACCUGUCUGUCUCAC